RNA transcript from Drosophila obscura, 1246 nucleotides. RefSeq lists it as uncharacterized. NCBI's taxonomy places the organism in Eukaryota, Metazoa, Arthropoda, Insecta, Diptera, Drosophilidae. The transcript has 4 exons. The record is from RefSeq and is a predicted model, not a curated record.
AAAAAAUGAAUUCAGUCGGCUUAGAGUGUUGAUAGAGUAUAGAUAAAAUACAUCAUUUUAGACCGAUUUGGCCGAUUUUCGAAAGUAUUAAUAUAGAUGACGUGACGAAGAAGAUCAAAUCUUUCCCAACGGAGCCGAGAUGCAAUUAGGAUAUGGAACAGUGCGAAUCAAUCAACUGAUGAAGAACGAAAAUUGCGCCGCGUUAGUGCGGCACGAUAUAUGGCCGUUCUUCGUGCUUUUCAAACAGAAGAGCAAAGAGAGGCAGUCCGUGAAACGGCUAGAUUAGAAAGAAGAAAAUCGUAGAGCUCAUCGCACAGACCAACAACGAUAUAGUAUUCGAACUGCAAGAAGAAAUACUUUAAGUGUUGAUUUGAAUCGAGCAACGUCUCUGUACGAUUGCACAAUUGACUACAGCUCGCAUCCUUUCGUUUGCAUUGGUACAAUGGAAGUAAUUUGCGUGCAUUGUGGGGCAUUGAAGUUCGCUGGAGAAACGCAUGAAUUGUGCUGCCUUAAUGGCAAUGUUAAAUUGCCAUUAUUGGUUCCGCCACCAGAGCCAUUGCAUUGCUUUGGGGCGAAAUACAAGAAUCACGACAUUUUCUAGCGAACAUUCAAAAGUACAAUAGCAGUUUUCAAAUGACUUUAUUUGGAGAGGAAUUGCCGAUAGAAUACGGAUUAUAUCCAACAUUCAAGAUUCAAGGCCAGAUUCACCAUCGAAUUGGAUCAUUACAACCUCUUGAAGAUGCACAACAUAAAUUCUUACAAAUAUACUUCAUGGGAAAUAUGGAGGAGAUACUUGAUCGGCGUCAAGAGAUUCACACAUCAAUGAAAAGAGGAAUUCUAAAAGAUCUACAGAAACUGCUUCAUGAAAAUCAUGCAUUAGUCAGUCUAUUCAAGACUGCGUUAGAGCGCAUGCCAAACGAUGACUACAAAGUCGUGAUCAGAGCGGAUAAACGACCAGCUGGAACACAUGAACGCACAGUUAACGCUCCAACAAUAGUUGAAGUUGCAAUCCUGAUUGUUGGUGAAAACUUGGAAAUACGCGAUAUUGUUCUUACCCGACGCAAUACUGGGCAAAUACUAAAAAUUUAUGAAACACACCGUUCAUAUAACACGUUGCAACACCCCCUGAAGUUUUGGCAAGGAGACGCACUUUAAAAUCAAGAUUAUUAAUCCAUUAAAUGGUGACGAAACUAACAAGAAGGUUAGUUCGAUAAAUUAUUACGCAUAUCGGUUGAUGAUGCGUCUC